AUUGAACGCUGGCGGCAGGCCUAACACAUGCAAGUCGAGCGGAUGAAGGGAGCUUGCUCCUGGAUUCAGCGGCGGACGGGUGAGUAAUGCCUAGGAAUCUGCCUGGUAGUGGGGGAUAACGUCCGGAAACGGGCGCUAAUACCGCAUACGUCCUGAGGGAGAAAGUGGGGGAUCUUCGGACCUCACGCUAUCAGAUGAGCCUAGGUCGGAUUAGCUAGUUGGUAGGGUAAAGGCCUACCAAGGCGACGAUCCGUAACUGGUCUGAGAGGAUGAUCAGUCACACUGGAACGUAGACACGGUCCAGACUCCUAAGGGAGGCAGCAGUGGGGAAUAUUGGACAAUGGGCGAAAGCCUGAUCCAGCCAUGCCGCGUGUGUGAAGAAGGUCUUCGGAUUGUAAAGCACUUUAAGUUGGGAGGAAGGGCAGUAAGUUAAUACCUUGCUGUUUUGACGUUACCAACAGAAUAAGCACCGGCUAACUUCGUG
This 484-nucleotide ribosomal RNA is filed under the name uncultured bacterium. Its description in RNAcentral is "partial 16S ribosomal RNA". It matches the Rfam family "Bacterial small subunit ribosomal RNA", at positions 30 to 507 of the family's 1533-position model. The record is from RNAcentral.